AAGGCGUUCGAGAGAACUCUCGUUAAGGAACUAGGCAAACGAGCCCCGUAACUUUGGAAGAAGGGGCGCCCCGCAAGGGGCCGCAGCGAAGCAGCCCAGGCGACUGUUUACCAAAAACACAGGUCUCUGCUAAGACGAAAGUCGAUGUAUAGGGGCUGACGCCUGCCCAAUGCCAGUCCAUUAAGCGGAGAUGUCAGGAGCAAUCUGAAGCAUUGAAGUGAAGUGCUGGUGAAUGGCGGCCGUAACUCUAACGAUCCUAAGGUAGCGAAAUUCCUUGUCGGGUAAGUUCCGACCCGCACGAAAGGCGUAACGAUUUGGGCACUGUCUCAACAAUAGACUCGGUGAAAUUGUAAUCCCGGUGAAGAUGCCGGGUACCUGCGACAGGACGGAAAGACCCCAUGGAGCUUUACUGUAGCUUGACGUUGGGUCUUGGUACUACAUGUACAGGAUAGGUGGGAGACUAUGAAGCAUGGACGCCAGUCUGUGUGGAGUCAUCCUUGGGAUACCACCCUUGUAGUACUGGGAUCCUAACCAUAGGCCUUGAAUCAGGUCUUGGAACACCGUCAGGUGGGCAGUUUGACUGGGGCGGUCGCCUCCUAAAAAGUAACGGAGGCGCUCAAAGGUUUCCUCAGCACGGUCGGAAAUCGUGCGAAGAGUGUAAAGGCAAAAGGAAGCUUGAUUGCAAGACAUACAGGUCGAGCAAGGACGAAAGUCGGACUUGGUGAUCCGGUGGUACCGCAUGGAAGGGCCAUCGCUCAACGGAUAGAAGCUACCCUGGGGAUAACAGGCUUAUCUCCCCCAAGAGUCCACAUCGACGGGGAGGUUUGGCACCUCGAUGUCGGCUCAUCACAUCCUGGGGCUGUAGUAGGUCCCAAGGGUUGGGCUGUUCGCCCAUUAAAGUGGUACGCGAGCUGGGUUCAGAACGUCGUGAGACAGUUCGGUCCCUAUCCGUCGCAGGCGUAGGAAAUUUGAGAAGACCUGUCCUUAGUACGAGAGGACCGGGAUGGACGUACCUCUGGUGUACCAGUUGUUCUGCCAAGGGCAUGGCUGGGUAGCUAUGUACGGAAUGGAUAAGCGCUGAAAGCAUCUAAGCGCGAAGCCAACUUCAAGAUAAGAUUUCCCACCGUAAGGGUAAGACCCCAGGAAGACUACCUGGUUGAUAGGUCGAAGGUGUAAGUGCAGUAAUGUAUUUAGCUUAUCGAUACUAAUAGGUCGAGGACUUGAGC
This 1226-nucleotide ribosomal RNA is filed under the name metagenome. RNAcentral describes it as "bacterial LSU rRNA". It matches the Rfam family "Bacterial large subunit ribosomal RNA", at positions 1683 to 2925 of the family's 2925-position model. The record is from RNAcentral.